CUUAUACUCCCUUCGUUCGGAAUUACUUGUCUCGGAAAUGGAUGUAUCUAGAACUUUUUAGUUCUAGAUACAUCCAUUUCUGAGACAAGUAAUUCCGAACGGAGGGAGUAUAAU
This is a non-coding RNA of Triticum aestivum (bread wheat), 114 nucleotides long. Lineage: Eukaryota; Viridiplantae; Streptophyta; Magnoliopsida; Poales; Poaceae. The record is from Rfam.